UCCUCAUUCUCCUACAUGUGAUG
Molecule: non-coding RNA, 23 nt
Filed under: Arabidopsis thaliana (thale cress)
Lineage: Eukaryota; Viridiplantae; Streptophyta; Magnoliopsida; Brassicales; Brassicaceae
Source: RNAcentral